CGCAGAUAUCGGAAGGAACACCAGUGGCGAAGGCGGUGCUCUGGGUUGGGCCUGACGCUGAGAGACGAAAGCUAGGGGAGCGAACAGGAUUAGAGACCCUGGUAGUCCUAGCCCUAAACGAUGGAUGCUAGGUGUGGGUCCGAGAAGGCUCUGUGCCGCAGUUAACGCGCUAAGCAUCCCGCCUGGGGAUUACGGCCGCAAGGCUAAAACUCAAACGAAUUGACGGGGCCCCGCACAAGCAGCGGAGCGUGUGGUUUAAUUCGAUGCUACACGAAGAACCUUACCUGGGUUUGACAUGUACGUGGUAGAGAAGCGAAAGCGGAUCGACCCUUCGGGGAGCGUACACAGGUGCUGCAUGGCUGUCGUCAGCUCGUGCCGUGAGGUGUCGGGUUAAGUCCCGUAACGAGCGCAACCCUUGCCCUUAGUUACAAGUGUCUAAGGGGACUGCCGGCGGUAAGCCGGAGGAAGGUGGGGAUGACGUCAAGUCAGCAUGGCCCUUAUAUCCAGGGCUACACACACGCUACAAUGGUCAGUACAAAGGGCAGCGAAGCCGCGAGGUGAAGCGAAUCCCAACAAAGCUGAUCUAAGUUCGGAUUGCAGGCUGCAACUCGCCUGCAUGAAGCUGGAGUUGCUAGUAACCGCGCGUCAGCUAUAGUGCGGUGAAUACGUUCCCGGGGCUUGUACACACCGCCCGUCACGUCAUGGGAGUCGGUAACGCCUGAAGCUGGUAGUCUGGCCCGCAAGGGGGGACGCCAUCAAAGGCGGGGCU
Molecule: ribosomal RNA, 769 nt
Filed under: uncultured organism
Description: bacterial SSU rRNA
Rfam family: Bacterial small subunit ribosomal RNA
Source: RNAcentral